UACGUAGGGUGCGAGCGUUAAUCGGAAUUACUGGGCGUAAAGUGUGCGCAGGCGGCAGAGCAAGUCGAGUGUGAAAGCCCCGGGCUUAACUUGGGAAUUGCGCUCGAAACUACUUUGCUGGAGUGUGGCAGAGGCAGAUGGAAUUCCCGGUGUAGCGGUGGAAUGCGUAGAGAUCGGGAAGAACAUCGGUGGCGAAGGCGGUCUGCUGGGCCGUUGCUGACGCUGAGGCGCGACAGCGUGGGGAGCAAACAGG
This 253-nucleotide ribosomal RNA is filed under the name uncultured bacterium. RNAcentral's name for it is "partial 16S ribosomal RNA". It matches the Rfam family "Bacterial small subunit ribosomal RNA", at positions 524 to 776 of the family's 1533-position model. The record is from RNAcentral.